This 387-nucleotide long non-coding RNA is filed under the name Hordeum vulgare. RNAcentral's name for it is "long non-coding RNA (HVUL_LNC020691)". Lineage: Eukaryota; Viridiplantae; Streptophyta; Magnoliopsida; Poales; Poaceae. The record is from RNAcentral.
UAUUAAACUUCCAAAAGGUACCUUUGGUUUUUGCUUCUUCUUGGAUCCGCUUGCUGCAUUCAUGUAAUAGACAAGUCAGUCGUAUGCGAUGAAUACUACCAGUAAUGCAAUUUUACAAGGAAAACAGAGAGCAAAAGUUACUCUUACAGAAUAAUAUAUUACGCACCACUAAAACACACUGAAGUGAGUUUUCCUCCAAACCCUGGGACACUGGUGAAAAAUCCUAGACUAGCUUUAUGCAUGAAGGUUCUACAAGAGUAACUGACAGCACCUGCCCCCCCAUGAUGUUCCGAACAGUAGGAAAGGAAAGUAUCGCAAAGGAUCAGGUUUCCCAUGAAAAUCCCGCGUACCGAACAGGGCCUAAUUAAAGUAUUCUAAACAAGACCC